Molecule: ribosomal RNA, 385 nt
Filed under: uncultured eukaryote
Lineage: Eukaryota
Description: SSU rRNA
Rfam family: Eukaryotic small subunit ribosomal RNA
Source: RNAcentral
AGCUCCAAUAGCAUAUACUAAAGUUGUUGCGGUUAAAAGGCUCGUAGUUGGAUUUCUGCCGAGGACGACCGGUCCGUCCGCCCUCUGGGUGAGUAUCUGGCUUGGCCUGGGCAUCUUCUUGGAGAACUUAGCUGCACUUGACUGUGUGGUGCGGUAUCCAGGAUUUGUAUUUCGAGGGAAUUACAGUGUUUCAAGCAGGCAUGUGCCUUGGAUACAUUAGCAUGGAAUAAUAAGAUAGGACCUCGGUUCUAUUCUGUUGGCUUCUAUAGCUGAGGUAAUGAUUAAUAGGGAUAGUUGGGGGCAUUCGUAUUUAACUGUCAGGGGUGAAACUCUUGGAUUCGUUGAGGACAGACUACUGCGAAAGCAUUUGCCAAGGAUGUUUUCA